UGGGGAAUAUUGCACAAUGGGCGCAAGCCUGAUGCAGCCAUGCCGCGUGUGUGAAGAAGGCCUUCGGGUUGUAAAGUACUUUCAGCGGGGAGGAAGGGAGUAAAGUUAAUACCUUUACUCAUUGACGUUACCCGCAGAAGAAGCACCGGCUAACUCCGUGCCAGCAGCCGCGGUAAUACGGAGGGUGCAAGCAUUAAUCGGAAUUACUGGGCGUAAAGCGCACGCAGGCGGUUUGUUAAGUCAGAUGUGAAAUCCCCGGGCUCAACCUGGGAACUGCAUCUGAUACUGGCAAGCUUGAGUCUCGUAGAGGGGGGUAGAAUUCCAGGUGUAGCGGUGAAAUGCGUAGAGAUCUGGAGGAAUACCGGUGGCGAAGGCGGCCCCCUGGACGAAGACUGACGCUCAGGUGCGAAAGCGUGGGGAGCAAACAGG
RNAcentral lists this ribosomal RNA (429 nucleotides) under Chloroflexota bacterium. Its description in RNAcentral is "Chloroflexi bacterium partial 16S ribosomal RNA". It matches the Rfam family "Bacterial small subunit ribosomal RNA", at positions 355 to 776 of the family's 1533-position model. The record is from RNAcentral. Lineage: Bacteria; Bacillati; Chloroflexota.